ACCCAUCGCAAUCCCUCCCACUCGCAAUAAACAUCAUUCCAUUAGUCACCCAAAGCCCAAAGAUUUACCUUUAAAAAGAAAAGCCAAUAUGUACUGUUUUCUUCCCUCAGGACAUACACGGUUUUUCUGUAUAUAGUCUUCUUGAAACACCACAGAACUAUUUUGUUUUGUUAUAUUAAAAAGCCAAAACAGCAGGAACCCAUUUCAGCAUUUCGAACCCUCUCUUUCUAGUGUUGUAAGCGUUGUCAGCUCAGCUACUGGGAUAUACACCGAUUUUCUGUAUAUAGCCUUCUUGAAACACCACGAACACUAGUUUUAUUUCUGUAUAUUACCUUACCUUACCUUCUCCACACGCCUACGAAACUCCGGAAACUCCUGCCUCAGAAGAAACCCAUUUCAUCAUUCCCCAAACCCUUCUGUCUGGACUGUUAUUUAUAGUGUUUAAAAGGUUUCGUAUCCUCUGCUCACGGGACAUAUACCGUUUUUUUUCUGUAUAUGGCCUUGAAACAUCAGAAAACCUCCUCUUUCAACCCUCACUGUGUAUAACCUUCUGGAAACAUCAUACAAACUUCUCUCGUAGAAACCCAUUUCACCAUUCAUGAAACCUUCCUUUCUAGUGUUUUAGCCUUUACAAACGCCGUUCUUGAGAUAUACACGAUUUUUCUGUAUAUAAUCUUCUUGAAACAACAGAAAACCUCCUCCCUGAGAUACUAUUUCUCUUUUUUCUUUAGGCUUUCCAUCCAUAUUGUCAUAUGGGUUUUCUGCAGAAAACUCAUGUGAAAAUAGCCAGAAAACUCCUCUCUCAAGGACCCAUGAUUCCUAUCACCAACAGAAGCUGAUAUUCUCAAAAAAGAAAAGCUGUUGGGUUGGGUUUUUUUUUUUUUGAAGAUUUUGUUGCAUUUUUUUACUCUUUUUUUUUUUCGGAUUGGAUGUUCUGCAGAGAAACUCGUGUAAACAUCCCAACAGCUCUAAGAAAAAAACCUAGAUAAAAAUCAUAAUCAAAGCCUCUGUUUUCGACCGUUUUGAUCUUGAUUUCUGUUUGCAGACACGGGUUUUGUGCAGAAAACCUUCUGUAAAAAUGGAAAUGUCAUUUAUCAAGAAAACCCAUUUUGUUGCUUCCAUCAAUAACUGAAAUAAUCAUACAAACAAUCCCAUACUUGUUGCUGCCUUUUGGGAAUUUUCAGAAACAUGGGUUGUGUUCAUGGAAAGUGCUAUUGCCACUGCACGCCGUCAAUAUCUGAUGAGGAGGGCCAAGAUUACAGAGACAUAGGCCCGCAUUCCACCACCAGCAUCCUUGAAAAUCACCGACACAUACUCACCGAAAGCUCAGUAGGAUUCGUCCCCGUUCCUUCUCACAACUUCCAUUUGCAAUACUCAUUCCUCACACAGCGUGGAUACUAUCCUGACUCUCCGGAUAAGGAAAAUCAGGACAGUUUCUGCAUUCAUACCCGAGUCCAAGGUAACCCGAAUCUCCAUUUCUUUGGGGUGUUCGAUGGGCACGGUCAGUUCGGCACUCAGUGUUCAAAUUUCGUCAGGGAUAGGUUGAUUAAUAUCUUGGGAAAUGACCCCACAUUGGCAGAUGAUCCUAAGAAAGCUUAUGAUUCGGCAUUUUUAGCUACUAAUUCUGAACUCCAUGAUAGUGAGAUUGAUGAUUCACUGAGUGGUACUACCGCGAUUACUAUUCUUGUUAGCGGGAACACUCUUUUUGUUGCGAAUGUGGGUGAUUCAAGGGCUGUGAUGGGUGUUAGAAGUGGGAAUUCUGUUCUAGCAGAGGAUCUUUCAAUCGAUCAGACACCAUUUCGGCAGGAUGAGUAUGAGCGGGUGAAGCUUUGUGGGGCCAGAGUUUUGACCAUUGAUCAGGUGGAAGGGGUCAAGGAUCCAGAUAUCCAGAGCUGGGGUGAUGAAGAAAGUGAUGAGGGUGACCCACCGAGAUUGUGGGUGCAGAAUGGGAUGUAUCCUGGGACGGCGUUUACGAGAAGUGUGGGAGAUGCAACUGCUGAGAAGAUCGGUGUGAUUGCUGAUCCCGAGGUGUCAAUGGUUCAUCUGACGCCGGACCACCUGUUCUUCGUUGUUGCAAGUGAUGGGGUUUUCGAAUUCCUCAACAGUCAAGCGGUUGUGAAUAUGGUGGUUAAAUUUGCAGAUCCUCGGGAUGCAUGUGCUGCAAUUGCUGCAGAAUCAUAUCAGAAGUGGUUGGAGCAUGAAAAUCGGACUGAUGAUAUAACAAUCAUCAUCGUACACAUCAAAGACUUGUGUAAUUCAGGUGCUGGUGCAACUGAUCGAGCCGUUGGAACCAACACCAAGACGGCUCGACUAGUGGUAGAAAAAGGACCAUCUGAAAGAUUGGUUUUCAGGAAAUCAGAAGAUUAUCCUUGCACGAGCGGGAGAUUCUCAGAACUCCAACCUUGUCCUCACGAUCUUCCCACUGAACUCAGUUUGGCAUGUGUCGCACAAUCUCCGUCACCUACCAAGUCCUCAGAAACGUGAUAAAAUCAGACGGGCAUAGGGAAUUUGAUCGUUUAUAUCCUGCUUAAAAUGCAUUAAAGGAUCAGCAGAAGGCUUGGGGGGUCUGAUCUUCUAACAAUGGUGGCAGGAGCAGUUUGGUGCUGUUCUCAGUUUACCAUCAGAUAUUCUUAGCCUACUAAUUCUUUAAUCAACUCUUAUAACCUUGUCUACACACAGAUCUUGUAUAUAGUUGAUUAGGCUUUCUUUUAUUCAAGGCAAAAGACAUUUUACA
Molecule: RNA transcript, 2734 nt
Organism: Magnolia sinica
Lineage: Eukaryota; Viridiplantae; Streptophyta; Magnoliopsida; Magnoliales; Magnoliaceae
Gene name: probable protein phosphatase 2C 35
Exons: 5
Source: RefSeq, a predicted model, not a curated record